AUUGGGUGAGGUUGAGUGACAGGUCGAGUAGCAGACAAAAAAUAAAACAUAGAUACUCGACUGCACAGUCUGUUGCUAGACAACUGGGUGGUCGAGUAUGAGGUCGAGUAACAAGAAAGAAUUGCAGAAAUUAAGCAACAGAUGACCAGAUGUAGUAAACAACAGUAGAGUAAAUAAAGAAUUCAAUCAGAUAAAGAAUUCCCGAGGAUGGGGUAAUUGAGUAGUUUCGUUUCCUCAAUUUACAGGUGAUUGACAUGCUCAAUAAAUUAUCCCUAGACAACGAGUUCAUUAACCAAAUUUAAGUGCCACCGCAACAGAGACCCUCAAGUUAACCUAGUCCCAGACUCAAUCACCAUUGACGAGAGCUAACCUAACAGGCAUUACGAAUCAACAAGUUAAAACCAAAACGCUCCCUGCAACAA
This 422-nucleotide small RNA is filed under the name Arabidopsis thaliana (thale cress). RNAcentral describes it as "ATSL268900". Lineage: Eukaryota; Viridiplantae; Streptophyta; Magnoliopsida; Brassicales; Brassicaceae. The record is from RNAcentral.